GUUGAUUAUCAGUUUUGGGUCUUUUAGCAGACUGAAGCAACUUCUCUUCUAGGAUGUGCCUGUCAUUUUUUCCCUGAAUCCUGACCUGUUUCCCAGUCCCUGCUGAGCUGCAGCAGAACUGGAUCACACUGCUGCCUCCUUCAGGCUUGACAGUAGGGAUGGUGUCGACGGUGUGACAGAGUGUUGAGUCUGCACCUGCUGUAACACGCUGCAUUGACAUCAGGAAGUUCCAGUUCGGUCUCCUCUAACUCCACCCACCUGUAGCACGCAUGGUUGCAGAAUCUCUUCAAUGCUUUGUUCAAACACCUUGUGGGGUCAGAGAUGGGUUCUCCUCUCUGCCACCCAGCUCCGCUCUGUGGAGGGACUGGGAUACCGCCGGAUCCUCUCCAGGUCACUGCUGGCCUCACAGCGGCGCCCCGGACCAGCCUCCUUCUCGCCUGGCUGCUGGGUUUGGAGAGACAGCGUCUGUGGUUCGAUGCACCUUCAUCUUCCUAAUGAUCCUCUUCGCUGGGCUCCCAGGGAUACUCGGAGGGUUUUCUAACAUGCAUGCAGUGAUUAAAUAAAGGCUCCUGUGCGGUUUGAGAUCUACAGCUUUUUCACUGAGGUGUUUCACAACCUCUGGUCUGCGGGGCUGAAUCGUUGCUUGAAAUUCACUGCCUGUCUCGGGGACUUUAUAAAGACCCCGAAACGUUGAGGCUGAAAUUGUGAAGCACUACUCUUGGACACAGACAGAGGUCACCCAGUGCACUGUGUGAAAGUGUUUUAAUCACUGCAGGCAGAAAGUUCAACUGCAGCGCAUGUGUCCUUUCAGAAAACAGGAGAACAGAAUCACUGUACUGAUUCACUUCACAAAAUUAGUUUUCAUAAAGGUAGAGCUAGGAACACGUCUCUCUCAUGCACCACAAACCUCUUUAUAACUGCCCACGAUAUCAGACAGGAGUGGCGAUCAUGGAUUUAUAUACUGAGAAAUCAGCCUCUGUGUUGAUAUUUUUCAUAUCGUACACGAAAGACUAAUGAAGUAAGAAAAACUCAUCCGUUAAACUCGUAUUCUCUCUCAGUACGGGCGACGCCAGUGUCCAAACUAUCCCAGAAUACUGACCUGUUU
RNAcentral lists this long non-coding RNA (1105 nucleotides) under Lepisosteus oculatus (spotted gar). Its description in RNAcentral is "lncRNA (ENSLOCG00000022432.1)". The record is from RNAcentral. Lineage: Eukaryota; Metazoa; Chordata; Actinopteri; Semionotiformes; Lepisosteidae.